This is a long non-coding RNA of Papaver somniferum (opium poppy), 1162 nucleotides long. RefSeq lists it as uncharacterized. The transcript has 3 exons. The record is from RefSeq and is a predicted model, not a curated record. NCBI's taxonomy places the organism in Eukaryota, Viridiplantae, Streptophyta, Magnoliopsida, Ranunculales, Papaveraceae.
AUUGAUGGACAUAACCAAAAACAGACGCUCUAGGAGAGAGUCAAGAGAAAGCGUACGAUAGAUACGUCUGUUGGUUAAAAGUUGUUAUCCAAUGACAAGAUGUGCGUCUUUUCAUAAACUAGGUUUUCCGGAAAAAAAAAAGAAGCUAGGUUUUGAAACUAAAUAUAGAACGAAUAGGAAUUGAAAACAGAAAGAAACUGAUAGUUCCAUUUUACACCUCUCAGGGGAAGUUUCUUCAAGUUUGGAAAUUCCACAAGUGUAAUGAUUACAUGGUUGGCACUCUGCUACGCACCGGUUAAAGCUUUGAUUGUAGUCCAACAAUACAGAGGCUGGCCAAUUCCCGAGGUUGUUAUAAGUGUGAUUCAUAGAUUCGGUCCUGCGGAUAUAGUGCAUUUUAGUUGAUCCAUAUAUACAUAAAAAGAAUUUUGGAUUGAAAGUCUCAACCUCCCAAGGUAAAGGCCUGAACACAUGAAGAACCUCUUAAUCAACCACCACUGUAAACCUAAAGAACAAUUGAUGCUUAUAAAAUAAUGCUGAUCAAGUAUAUGUCGGCUUUCCUUCUAUUUCAUCGCAAAAACAAGCAAACAAGCAAGAUUCCACCAGGGUUAGGAAACGGCUUCAAUCCCGUGGUUAAGACUUACCCACGAGAGGGCGGAAGCCAACAACUUGGAACUUUCACAUAUCAAAAUGGUUUAUCUAUAAGCUUAGAGUCGGAAACUGGGUCGCAUCUGUGUUCAUUUAAGAAACAAUAUAUCCAGAAGCUCCUUUAAGGUCAUAAUGGAAACUACAUAUAGGCCAGAAGAAUGGGUUUUUGCAGAGAAAGUUAAACAUAAGAAAAUGGUUACUUCCGAAACAUGGUUUAUGUUUAAUCAUUUGAGAAACUGCGCGCGGAUAAUGAUGGGAUGGGGUAUCGACAGUUGGGAAUAAUUUUGUUGGUUUUUACGGUAUCGUUUGUAUUGGAGGAAGAGAUGCUGAUGCAUGUUUAUGAAUUGCAGCUUGAAUAUGCCCUCCAAUUCACCUUUGCACAUGGGAUGUGACAAGAGCUAUGAAAUACUUUGUAAAGUAGUUGAAUCAUGAAGCAAAAGAAAAAUUGGCCAGAAUUCUGUGACAAGUUUGUAAUCCCUGUAAUGCUAGAUGCGUGCGCCACUUAUGUUGGUGAUGU